This 477-nucleotide ribosomal RNA is filed under the name uncultured Pseudomonadota bacterium. RNAcentral's name for it is "bacterial SSU rRNA". It matches the Rfam family "Bacterial small subunit ribosomal RNA", at positions 34 to 542 of the family's 1533-position model. The record is from RNAcentral. Lineage: Bacteria; Pseudomonadati; Pseudomonadota.
CGCUGGCGGCAGGCCUAACACAUGCAAGUCGAACGCCCCCUUCGGGGGGAGUGGCGAACGGGUGAGUAACGCGUGGGAACCUGUCCUGAGGUACGGGACAACCGCUGGAAACGGCGGCUAAUACCGUAUGUCUCCCCUGAUAGAGAUAUUGGGGGGGAAAGUCUUCGGACGCCUUGGGGUGGGCCCGCGUCGGAUUAGGUAGUUGGUGGGGUAACGGCCUACCAAGCCGACGAUCCGUAGCUGGUCUGAGAGGACGACCAGCCACACUGGGACUGAGACACGGCCCAGACUCCUACGGGAGGCAGCAGUGGGGAAUAUUGGACAAUGGGCGAAAGCCUGAUCCAGCCAUGCCGCGUGGGUGAAGAAAGCCUUAAGGUUGUAAAGCCCUUUCGACGGGGAAGAUGAUGACGGUACCCGUAGAAAAGCCCCGGCUAACUCCGUGCCAGCAGCCGCGGUAAUACGGAGGGGGUUAGCGUU